Molecule: ribosomal RNA, 112 nt
Filed under: Cordylochernes scorpioides
Lineage: Eukaryota; Metazoa; Arthropoda; Arachnida; Pseudoscorpiones; Chernetidae
Source: RNAcentral
UCUACUAUUUUUAAAAACAACUGGUUCUCGUCCGAACACCGAAGUUAAGCAAUGUCGGGCCCGGUCAGUACUUGGGAGGGUGACCACCUGGGAACACCGGGUGCUGUAGGCU